Molecule: ribozyme, 116 nt
Filed under: Aedes aegypti (yellow fever mosquito)
Lineage: Eukaryota; Metazoa; Arthropoda; Insecta; Diptera; Culicidae
Description: drz-agam-1 ribozyme
Rfam family: drz-agam-1 ribozyme
Source: Rfam by way of RNAcentral
UGCCCAGCAACUCAUAUCCCUAUCUCCUCGUGAUAAGGACCAGAAUACGAGCAAGCUUAGGGAAGAUCGGGUAACCAGCCCUGGUGGGAACUUUGGUUGUAUGCUGACAGGAAAGG